GACUAAAUACUUUUUUGACCCACUGUAUAUUACAUAGCUAGAUAUCACAAGAUAAUUUGUUUUUUCCUGUCAUCACACUAUACCCAUUUAGAAACAGAGACAAUGAAUUGAUAAACGCGUUAUUGACAGCAAUAUAUUGGAUGAUCGUUAUUUUAAAACCUUCAAAAAGAAAAAUCACUCAUUUCCGUGAUGGCAGCAUUUCCCUCCGGUCCUGGGAAACACAAGUGGUUUCGUUGUUUUUUCCGUGAUGGCAGCAUUUCCCUCCGGUCCUGGGAAACACAAGUGGUUUCGUUGUUUUCCUUAGUACUACACAGCUGUUUCAAAUAAUCAACGCUUGAUGAUGAGUUCGACGUGCAUUUCUGUGCACACGACAUCAAAUUCGUUCUGAUGGAUGCUGCAUGUUCCUUGAAUAGCGCAAAAGAUUUUUGGGGUACACUGCUUUUUGACUUCUAGCCUCCCAAGGAUUAAAAUAUUUGAGGAGGAACAGGAAAACAUGCAGCUGGACCGUUCUCAGGCUGAAAAGCCUAUCAGCCACAAGGUGGUCCUCCAGGAAACAGGCCACAGAAGCGGUAAUACAGAGCCUGUCUGCGAUCCUUGGAAGCCCUGCACGGAAUAAAGCACCAUCCCCAUACAACACCAAAAGCCAAUGGCCUGCUCUGAAAAAUUAGCACAUUUGAGUUUUAAAUGAUUUCAAGAAAUUUAUAGAAGACGAACAUCCUUUCUAACUACCUUCAAAAAUAAUUUGAGAGAUGCCGUGGAUCUAACUGAUUUAAUUGACAUCUGGCUGAGAUCUGAUGGAUGCCCCUAUGACAGGAUGGAGAACAGUGCAAAAUCGAUGGCCCAACAAAACAAUGCAACAACUGAGUUUGCAGAGGAGAGGGCGCGCAAGAGGGAAAGGUUUCAUGAUGAGGGAGGACGAGCCAAUUCAGGAAAGCAGAAGGCACUUAACCCGGAGGCCAGCCGCUGCAGUUACCUGGCCAGCCACUAGAGCACGAUAAGCCAAGUGAAGCCCCCUGGCCAAGCCCUCCACAAACUAGGACGACGCUGGGCCUAUUGUGCACCGGCCUAUGAGACUCCUGGUCACGGCUGGUUGUGACACAGCCUGGGAUCGAACCCGGCUUCUUCCCAAUUUCUCCCCUCUCCCUCCCUUUCCUCCUCCCUCUCCUCUCUAGGUUUGCCAGUGAUGGGGCAGUCAUUUGCUUUGGGGUGUUCAUGCGGACACAGGAGGGGGGCGGGCAUCAGAAGGUGGGGGAUAUGCUGCAGGUGUUGCCUAGUGAACGCUACAACGCACACAUGGUCCCAGAAGACCGCUCCCUCACCUGCCCCGAGCCUGGAACCUACGUGCUGCAUUUUGACAACACCUACAGCUUACUGCAGUUGAAAAACAUCAGCUAUACUGUGGAUGUUCUACUGCCAGACGGACAUGUCAAGAGUCCUAGGAGUAACAGAGCGGAUGGAUGGCUGGAGUAACACACACACACACACACACACAAAUAUGAGAUCUGGAUAGUGAAGAUGGCAAUGUACAGUAUACAGUGCUGUUUAAACACCAGUGUUCUCAGUUAUGGGCAUUGAUAUGACUAGUAACCCACAGUUAUAACUUUUCCUAUUUUCUGUUGACACAAAUAAUAAUUUGUAUAAGCAUUUCAUACAAGAGUCAGAAUUAAUUUGAGUUAGGACUAUAUGGCUUUGUCUUAUUGGAGCCUAUAUUGUGUGAAUGUAAUAUAAUGUAUUUUCACAGAAAAGUACUUUCCCGUGUCUGUAGUGACUUCUGUGUAUUUUAGGCUUCAUUGGACCAAUGUAAAUAUACAAAUUGUGCAAAUAGGGAUAUAAUAAAGGAAUGAUUAUAAAGUGGGAGAUAAAUAUCCUUGCUAUCGUUUUGUGUUUUCACUGAUGAUAUCUCUCAUUAACUGUUUGACAUUUUAAUUAAUGGCAGCUGAUGGACCGGCUAGAUAUCUUUAUAGGUUGUUUAAGCAUAAAUAAAGAUUAUUCUUAUCCAAUGUUAAGAUGCACUUAUUGUCAAUGGAUAAAAACAAAUUGAAGAGUUUUAACAUAGCUACAUGUCAUAAUAGUCAAGUAUUUAUUCUCAAAAUGCGAGUUGAGUCCUGAAAAUCAGAAAUGUCAGAUGGUCCGACAUCUGAAUUUUGUACAUAUACUAAAUUUGUAUUAUCUCGACUUUUAAAUGUUCUUGUAUCAUGUUAUUUUUUUAAAGAAUAAAUCAUA
Molecule: long non-coding RNA, 2223 nt
Organism: Oncorhynchus tshawytscha (Chinook salmon)
Lineage: Eukaryota; Metazoa; Chordata; Actinopteri; Salmoniformes; Salmonidae
Exons: 3
Source: RefSeq, a predicted model, not a curated record